UGGAAAUAAAUGGCUAUUGGAACAGAUGGU
This 30-nucleotide non-coding RNA is filed under the name Mus musculus (house mouse). The record is from RNAcentral. Lineage: Eukaryota; Metazoa; Chordata; Mammalia; Rodentia; Muridae.